RNAcentral lists this ribosomal RNA (995 nucleotides) under Bacillus altitudinis. RNAcentral's name for it is "bacterial SSU rRNA". It matches the Rfam family "Bacterial small subunit ribosomal RNA", at positions 35 to 1018 of the family's 1533-position model. The record is from RNAcentral. Lineage: Bacteria; Bacillati; Bacillota; Bacilli; Caryophanales; Bacillaceae.
GCCUGCGGGGUGCUAUACAUGCAAGUCGAGCGGACAGAAGGGAGCUUGCUCCCGGAUGUUAGCGGCGGACGGGUGAGUAACACGUGGGUAACCUGCCUGUAAGACUGGGAUAACUCCGGGAAACCGGAGCUAAUACCGGAUAGUUCCUUGAACCGCAUGGUUCAAGGAUGAAAGACGGUUUCGGCUGUCACUUACAGAUGGACCCGCGGCGCAUUAGCUAGUUGGUGAGGUAACGGCUCACCAAGGCGACGAUGCGUAGCCGACCUGAGAGGGUGAUCGGCCACACUGGGACUGAGACACGGCCCAGACUCCUACGGGAGGCAGCAGUAGGGAAUCUUCCGCAAUGGACGAAAGUCUGACGGAGCAACGCCGCGUGAGUGAUGAAGGUUUUCGGAUCGUAAAGCUCUGUUGUUAGGGAAGAACAAGUGCAAGAGUAACUGCUUGCACCUUGACGGUACCUAACCAGAAAGCCACGGCUAACUACGUGCCAGCAGCCGCGGUAAUACGUAGGUGGCAAGCGUUGUCCGGAAUUAUUGGGCGUAAAGGGCUCGCAGGCGGUUUCUUAAGUCUGAUGUGAAAGCCCCCGGCUCAACCGGGGAGGGUCAUUGGAAACUGGGAAACUUGAGUGCAGAAGAGGAGAGUGGAAUUCCACGUGUAGCGGUGAAAUGCGUAGAGAUGUGGAGGAACACCAGUGGCGAAGGCGACUCUCUGGUCUGUAACUGACGCUGAGGAGCGAAAGCGUGGGGAGCGAACAGGAUUAGAUACCCUGGUAGUCCACGCCGUAAACGAUGAGUGCUAAGUGUUAGGGGGUUUCCGCCCCUUAGUGCUGCAGCUAACGCAUUAAGCACUCCGCCUGGGGAGUACGGUCGCAAGACUGAAACUCAAAGGAAUUGACGGGGGCCCGCACAAGCGGUGGAGCAUGUGGUUAAUUCGAAGCACGCGAAGAACCUUACCAGGUCUUGACUCCUCUGACACCCUAGAGAUAGGGCUUUCCC